RNAcentral lists this long non-coding RNA (4002 nucleotides) under Heterocephalus glaber (naked mole-rat). Its description in RNAcentral is "lncRNA (ENSHGLG00100046243.1)". The record is from RNAcentral. Lineage: Eukaryota; Metazoa; Chordata; Mammalia; Rodentia; Bathyergidae.
UUCUUAUUUUUUUCCCCAUUACCUGUGCGCCCUUCACCCGCUCCGCCCUUCCCUAUUUACAUAGAUUUCAUUUCCAUGUUUUCUUUUCUCAUAGUUUUUCCUUUCCCUCUUUUCCUUUCCCCUUCCCCUCCCUUCACUCCUUCAUCUUUGGACCUUUUUUCCUAUUUCAAAUUAUCAGUUAUUCAUUUUAAUCAUUUUAACCCUUGUUUACACUUUCAGUUUCUCACACUAGAGAAACUAUUUGGUAUUUACUCAUGUGUGUCCUAUUUGUUUCACUUAAGAGUAUGGCCUCGAUAUCCAUCCAUUUAGCUAUAAAUGCCUCUAGUUUUUCAUUCCUUAUGAUUGAGUAGUACUCCAUUUUAUUAAAAAACCACAUUUUCUUUAUCCAGUUUCCAGCUGAUGGGCACUUGGGCUGUUUCCAAGCUUUAGCUAUUACAAACUGUGCCGCUGUGAACAUGGGUGCACAUAUAUCACUGUGGUAUGAUUCUUUUAAUUCUUUUGGGAAGAUACCCAGCAGGGGAGUAGCUGGGUCAAAUGGGACCUGUAGUCCUAGUUCUUUGAGGUAUCUCCAUACUGACUUCCACAGUGGUUGCACCAGUCUGCAUUCCCACUAACAAUGGAGAAGGGUUCCUUUCUCCCCACAACCCCGUCAGCAUUUGUUAUUUGUUGAUUUCUUGAUAGCAGCCAUUCUUUCUGGGGUGAGGUGGAAUCUCAGUGUUGUUUUCAUGUGCCUCUCUUGAAUGAUGAGUGAUGUUGAACAUUUUUUCAUAUGUUUGUUUGCUGCUUUUACUUCUUUGCCUGAGAAAUGUCUGUUCAUUUCAGAUGCCCAUUUUUGAAUUGGGUCUUUGAAUUUGGGGGGUCUGAUUUUUUUCCAUUCUUUAUAUAUUCUAGAUAGUAGUCCUUUGUCUGAGGUACAGCUGCUAAAAUUUUUUCCCACAUUGUAGGUUGUCUGUUAGCUCUGUUGGUGGUUUCUUUUGCAGUGCGGAAGCUUUUUAAUAAGAUGAGAUCCCAGUUGUUGAUUCUUUCUGCUAGUUCUCGUGCUGCUGAGGUUUUCUUCAUGAAGUCUUUUCCUAUGCCAAUGUCUUCAAGAGUUCUACCUAACUUAUCUUCCAGCAAGUUUAGUGUUUCUGUCUUAAUAUUUACAUCUUUAAUCCACUUUGAUCUUCGUUUAGUGCAUAGUGAUAGGUAUGGGUCUAGUUUUAAUCUUUGGCAGGUUGAAAUCCAGUUUUUCCAACACCAUUUAUUAAAUAGGCUAUCUUUCCUCCAGUGAUGGUGAUUGGCUCCUUUGUCAAAGAUGAGGUGGCUGAGCAUGUCUGGAGUUGUUUCUGCAUCUUCUAAUCUAUUCCACUGAUCCUGAGUUCUGUUCCUUUGCCAGUACCAUGCUGAUUUUAUCACAGUAGCUUUGUAGUAUAAUUUCAAGUUGGGGAUUGUGAUACCCCCAACCAUGUCUCUGUUGCUUAGAAUUGCUUUAGCUAUUCUAGAUCUCUUAUGGUUCCAAAUGAAUUUUUGGAUUGUUUUCUCUAGUUCUGUGAAGUAUAUUGUUGGAAUUUCAGUUGGCAUUGCAUUGAAUCUAUAUAGUAGUUUUGGAAGUAUGGCCAUUUUCUCUAUAUUGGUUCUUCCUACCCAGGAGCAAGGGAUGUCUUUCCAUUUUCUUGUAUCCUCUUCAGUCUCUUUUUUCAGAGUGCUGUAGUUUUCAGUGUAGAGGUCUUUUGCUUCCUUUGUUACAUUGAUUCCUAGAUAUUUCAUUUUUCUUGGAUGCUACUGUAAAAGGAAUUGUUUCCCUAAUUUCUCUCUUAGUGAGUCUGUUAUUUGUGUACAAAAAGGCUAUUGUUUUUUGAGUGUUGACCUUGUAUCCAGCUAUUCUACUGAAUCUGUCAAUUAAGUCUAGAAGUCUUCUGGUGGAAUCUUUUGGGUCUUCUAUGUAAAGUGUCAUAUCGUCAGCAAAUAAUGACAGUUUAACUUCUUUUCCUAUCUUUAUUCCUUUUAUUUCUUUCUCUUUUCUAAUUGCUAUGGCUAAUGUUUCCAGAACUGUAUGGAACAGGAGUGGUGAGAGUGGACAUCUUUGUCUUGUUCCUGAUUUUAUCAUGAAAGUUUUCAGUUUUUAACCAUUUAGUAUGAUGUUGGCUGUUGGUUUUUCAUAGAUAGGCUUAAUCAGGUUAAGAUAAAGACCUUCUGUUCCAAUUUUCUGUAGGGUUUUUAUCAUGAAUGGGUGCUGGAUUUUGUCAAAUGCUUUUUCUGCCUCUAUUGAGAUGAUCAUAUGGUUUAUUUCUCUUAAUGUGGUGUAUUACAUUUUUUGAUUUACGAAUGUUGAACCAUCCUUGCAUCCCUGGGAUAAAUCUGACUUGGUUAGGGUGUAUGAUCUUCUUGAUGACUCUCUGUAUUCUGUUUGCCAGUAUUUUGUUGAGGAUUUUUGCAUCUAUGUUCAUUAGGGAGAUUGGCCUAUAGUUCUCUUUUUGGGUUGGGUCUUUCCCUGGUUUUGGAAUCAAAGUAACACUUGCUUCCAGGAAUGAAUUUGGAAGCCUUGCUUCCCUUUCAGUUUCCUUGAUGAGUUUAAAGAGUAAUGGUGUUAGAUCUUCUUUAAAUGUCUUGUAAAUUUCAGCAGUGAAGCUAUCCGGACCUGGGCUUUCCUUUGUUGGGCAGAGGCAUUUAUUGCUAAGGUAUCUGGAAAGUUGGAGUUCUGUGUAAAACCUUUUGAUUGUCAAAUGUUGGCAAACUACCGUCACGUUAAAUAUAUUGGCCUGCGAGAUCGGGGCUGUGGGCCACCAGUGUGCACUCUAUUCCAAAAGCUCUUUCAGGAAUGACGUAGGAGAUGGGACUCAGUAAGCUGAUGUCCCCUGGCUUCAGGGGUCCUGAAGAAAUGGAAUGAGUGGGGAGGUCCAGGCCUAGAUCCCUCCAGAGCACUGUAAUGGUAUAGGACAGCCUGGCUCCUGAAUGCCUUUUCAUGCCCACUGUGCCCUCCUAGUGUACGCUGCUGGCAAAGCAGCCACCUCAGGUGUGCCAAGCAUCUACGCCCCCAGCACCUAAGCCUACCUCUCCCCUGCCAAGACCCCACCCCCACUGCCAAUCAUGAUUCCCAUGGGCCCCAUCUACAAUGGCUACCCUGGAGGGUACCCUGGAGACUUCGAUAGGAACAGCUCAGUGGGCGGCCACAGCUCUCAGGUACCCCUGCUUUGAGACACGGACAGCAAUUCAACCUCUGGUAAGAGCCCAUCAUUCCAAGGUUGGACAGUGGGGGUGGGUGGGUAGGUGAGCAUCCUAUCUGCCAACCUGGUCAUUUCCGCCUCUGUCUCUAGAAGUCCGUAGUGGCUACGGAUCCAGGCCAAUCAGCAGGAUGAUUCCAUGAGAGUCCCAGCCAGGUUCCGCAGAAUCUGCAAGGUCUCCUGCAAGUAGCGGGAGGAGAGGAAGGGCCUAUGCACCCCCUCGAAGCCGCAGCCGUGAUGACCUCUUCAACCCAGACGUCUCGAGGGACUUCCCACACUCUGGAGAUCCCCAUUGUGAUGACUUCAAAUCUAGUAGGGACCGCCCUCCUGCUGACCCCAGAUCCCGCUACCGGUCCCGGGACCCUCGAGAUGAUGGCUCCAGGCCCAGGGAUCCCCAAUAUGAUGGGCGGCUGCUAGAAGAGGCCUUUUCUUUCUCUUGCAGAACUUGGCCCUCAGUCGGGAAAGUUUAGUCGUCUGAUCUCACAUUUUGUAUGUAGCUUUUGUACUUUUUAUUUUUUGGUACUGGGGACUAAACCCACAGGUUUCGCACUGAGCUACGUCUCCGGCCCUUUUUCACUUUUUAAAAUUUUGAGACAGGGUCUCGCAGAGUUGCUGAAGCUGAGCUCGAAUUUACAGUCCUGCCUCGGCCUCCCUGUGUUGGAAUUGCAGGCAUGCGUGCCACUAACUUGCGCCACUUCAUGGAGCUGAUACUUUUUUUAAUUUGAGAGAAUAUUGAAGAUCUCCUAAGUCUAAUAAAAUUGAUAAACACACGGCCCGUCUUGAGAGAAGCGUUCGUUGCUGC